Molecule: small nucleolar RNA, 83 nt
Organism: Gallus gallus (chicken)
Lineage: Eukaryota; Metazoa; Chordata; Aves; Galliformes; Phasianidae
Source: Ensembl
UGCUAGAAAACAGAUGUGAUAUUUACAAGCAUGUAUCUGAUUGCUUUUUUGUGGAAAUAUGACUAUUUCUGAGUUUUCUGGAG